RNAcentral lists this ribosomal RNA (327 nucleotides) under uncultured Methanomicrobiales archaeon. RNAcentral describes it as "bacterial SSU rRNA". It matches the Rfam family "Archaeal small subunit ribosomal RNA", at positions 1010 to 1338 of the family's 1478-position model. Lineage: Archaea; Methanobacteriati; Methanobacteriota; Methanomicrobia; Methanomicrobiales. The record is from RNAcentral.
CGUACUGUGAAGCAUCCUGUUAAGUCAGGCAACGAGCGAGACCCACGCCAACAGUUGCCAGCUCGUCUCCGGGAUGGUGGGGACACUGUUGGGACCGCCUCUGCUAAAGAGGAGGAGGAAUGGGCAACGGUAGGUCAGCAUGCCCCGAAUUAUCUGGGCUACACGCGGGCUACAAUGGGUGGGACAAUGGGUAUCGACACCGAAAGGUGAAGGCAAUCUCCUAAACCCAUCCGUAGUUCGGAUUGUGGGCUGCAACUCGCCCACAUGAAGCUGGAAUCUGUAGUAAUCGUGUCUCAAAAUGGCACGGUGAAUAUGUCCCUGCUCCUU